This 437-nucleotide ribosomal RNA is filed under the name uncultured Flavonifractor sp. Its description in RNAcentral is "partial 16S ribosomal RNA". It matches the Rfam family "Bacterial small subunit ribosomal RNA", at positions 341 to 792 of the family's 1533-position model. The record is from RNAcentral. Lineage: Bacteria; Bacillati; Bacillota; Clostridia; Eubacteriales; Oscillospiraceae.
ACGGGAGGCAGCAGUGGGGAAUAUUGGGCAAUGGGGGAAACCCUGACCCAGCAACGCCGCGUGAAGGAAGAAGGCCCUCGGGUUGUAAACUUCUUUUACCAGGGACGAAUAAAAUGACGGUACCUGGAGAAAAAGCAACGGCUAACUACGUGCCAGCAGCCGCGGUAAUACGUAGGUUGCAAGCGUUGUCCGGAUUUACUGGGUGUAAAGGGCGUGUAGGCGGAGCUGCAAGUCAGAUGUGAAAUCCCGGGGCUCAACCCCGGAACUGCAUUUGAAACUGUAGCCCUUGAGUAUCGGAGAGGCAAGCGGAAUUCCUAGUGUAGCGGUGAAAUGCGUAGAUAUAAGGAAGAACACCAGUGGCGAAGGCGAUCUACUGGACAGUAACUGACGCUGAGGCGCGAAAGCGUGGGGAGCAAACAGGAUUAGAUACCCUGGUA